GAUGAAGAGCGUAGCGAAAUGCGAUACGUAAUGUGAAUUGCAGAAUUCAGUGAAUCAUCGAAUCUUUGAACGCAUAUUGCGCUCUCUGGUAUUCCGGAGAGCAUGCUUGUUUGAGUAUCAGUAAACACCUCAACUUCCAUAUCUUUUUUGAAAUGGGAGUUGGACUUGAGUGAUCCCAACGCUUUUCCUCACCGAAAAGUGGCGGGUUACUUGAAAUGCAGGUGCAGCUGGACUUUUCUCUGAGCUAUAAGCAUAUCUAUUUAGUCUGCCUAAAAAACAGAUUAUUACCUUUGCUGCAGCUAACAUAAAGGAGAUUAGUUCUUGUGCUGACUGAUGCAGGAUUCACAAAGACAGGCUUCGGCCGACUUUGUAAACUCGAUCUCAAAUCAAGUAAGACUACCCGCUGAACUUAAGCAUAUCAAUAAGCGGAGGA
RNAcentral lists this unclassified non-coding RNA (433 nucleotides) under soil metagenome. RNAcentral's name for it is "partial contains 5.8S ribosomal RNA, internal transcribed spacer 2, and large subunit ribosomal RNA". The stretch from base 1 to 120 matches the Rfam family "5.8S ribosomal RNA", at positions 35 to 154 of the family's 154-position model. The record is from RNAcentral.